This is a long non-coding RNA of Capra hircus (goat), 270 nucleotides long. RefSeq lists it as uncharacterized. The transcript is spliced from 2 exons. The record is from RefSeq and is a predicted model, not a curated record. NCBI's taxonomy places the organism in Eukaryota, Metazoa, Chordata, Mammalia, Artiodactyla, Bovidae.
CUCUUUACUGCUGAGCCAGCUGGGAAGCCCCAAAUAACAAGCCACUGUGCAGCAAGGCCAGGCCAUGAGACCAGUUUUGCCAAAUACAGUGUGAGUGCAAGUGAUGCAUUACUCAUCUGAAUGAUGUUAUAAAUAAAUCACCCAGGAAACUCCCUGAUGAACCAAUGGUUUGAUUUUCUGUGCUUUCGCUGCCUGGAGGGCCUGAAUUCAGGCUCUGGUCAGGGAACUAACAUUCUUCAAGCUGCAUGGCAUGUCAAAAAAAAAAAAAAA